RNAcentral lists this ribosomal RNA (253 nucleotides) under uncultured bacterium. RNAcentral describes it as "partial 16S ribosomal RNA". It matches the Rfam family "Bacterial small subunit ribosomal RNA", at positions 524 to 776 of the family's 1533-position model. The record is from RNAcentral.
UACGAAGGGUGCAAACGUUGCUCGGAAUUAUUGGGCGUAAAGAGCUCGUAGGUGGCCUGUCGCGUCGGCUGUGAAAACUCGGGGCUCAACUCCGAGCUUGCAGUCGAUACGGGCAGGCUAGAGUUCGGCAGGGGAGACUGGAAUUCCUGGUGUAGCGGUGAAAUGCGCAGAUAUCAGGAGGAACACCGGUGGCGAAGGCGGGUCUCUGGGCCGAUACUGACACUGAGGAGCGAAAGCGUGGGGAGCGAACAGG